This 460-nucleotide ribosomal RNA is filed under the name uncultured bacterium. Its description in RNAcentral is "partial 16S ribosomal RNA". It matches the Rfam family "Bacterial small subunit ribosomal RNA", at positions 338 to 795 of the family's 1533-position model. The record is from RNAcentral.
CCUACGGGCGGCAGCAGUGAGGAAUAUUGGUCAAUGGACGAGAGUCUGAACCAGCCAAGUAGCGUGAAGGAUGACUGCACUAUGGGUUGUAAACUUCUUUUAUAAAGGAAUAAAACGAGGCACGUGUGCCUUUUUGCAUGUACUUUAUGAAUAAGGAUCGGCUAACUCCGUGCCAGCAGCCGCGGUAAUACGGAUGAUCCGAGCGUUAUCCGGAUUUUUUGGGUUUAAAGGGAGCGUAGAUGGGUUGUUAAGUCAGUUGUGAAAGUUUGCGGCUCAACCGUAAAAUUGCAAUUGUUACUGGCAGUCUUGAUUACAGUUGAGGUAGGCGGAAUUCGUGGUGUAGCGGUGAAAUGCUUAGAUAUCACGAAGAACCCCGAUUGCGAAGGCAGCUUACUAAACUGUGACUGACAUUUAUGCUCGAAAGUGUGGGUAUCAAACAGGAUUAGAUACCCUAGUAGUC